This 253-nucleotide ribosomal RNA is filed under the name uncultured bacterium. RNAcentral describes it as "partial 16S ribosomal RNA". It matches the Rfam family "Bacterial small subunit ribosomal RNA", at positions 524 to 776 of the family's 1533-position model. The record is from RNAcentral.
UACGUAGGGGGCAAGCGUUGUCCGGAAUCAUUGGGCGUAAAGCGCGUGUAGGCGGUUCGAUAAGUCUGCUGUGAAAGUCCAGGGCUCAACCCUGGGAUGCCGGUGGAUACUGUCGGACUCGAGUACGGAAGAGGCGAGUGGAAUUCCCGGUGUAGCGGUGAAAUGCGCAGAUAUCGGGAGGAACACCAAUUGCGAAGGCAGCUCGCUGGGACGUCACUGACGCUGAGACGCGAAAGCGUGGGGAGCGAACAGG